CAGGAUGAACGCUAGCGGCAGGCUUAACACAUGCAAGUCGAGGGGUAGAAGAAGCUUGCUUCUUUGAGACCGGCGCACGGGUGCGUAACGCGUAUGCAAUCUACCUUUCACAGAGGGAUAGCCCAGAGAAAUUUGGAUUAAUACCUCAUAGUAAUACGACUUGGCAUCAAGAUGUAUUUAAAGAUUUAUCGGUGAAAGAUGAGCAUGCGUCCCAUUAGCUAGUUGGUAUGGUAACGGCAUACCAAGGCUACGAUGGGUAGGGGUCCUGAGAGGGAGAUCCCCCACACUGGUACUGAGACACGGACCAGACUCCUACGGGAGGCAGCAGUGAGGAAUAUUGGACAAUGGGCGCAAGCCUGAUCCAGCCAUGCCGCGUGCAGGAUGACGGUCCUAUGGAUUGUAAACUGCUUUUAUACAGGAAGAAACACCUCUACGUGUAGAGACUUGACGGUACUGUAAGAAUAAGGAUCGGCUAACUCCGUGCCAGCAGCCGCGGUAAUACGGAGGAUCCAAGCGUUAUCCGGAAUCAUUGGGUUUAAAGGGUCCGUAGGCGGUCAGGUAAGUCAGUGGUGAAAGCCCAUCGCUCAACGGUGGAACGGCCAUUGAUACUGUCUGACUUGAAUUAUUAGGAAGUAACUAGAAUAUGUAGUGUAGCGGUGAAAUGCUUAGAGAUUACAUGGAAUACCAAUUGCGAAGGCAGGUUACUACUAAUAUAUUGACGCUGAUGGACGAAAGCGUGGGUAGCGAACAGGAUUAGAUACCCUGGUAGUCCACGCCGUAAACGAUGGAUACUAGCUGUUGGGAGCAAUCUCAGUGGCUAAGCGAAAGUGAUA
This 833-nucleotide ribosomal RNA is filed under the name uncultured Flavobacterium sp. Its description in RNAcentral is "bacterial SSU rRNA". It matches the Rfam family "Bacterial small subunit ribosomal RNA", at positions 25 to 862 of the family's 1533-position model. The record is from RNAcentral. Lineage: Bacteria; Pseudomonadati; Bacteroidota; Flavobacteriia; Flavobacteriales; Flavobacteriaceae.